UUUCCUUCGGGGAAUGAGUACAGUGGCGCACGGGUGAGUAACACGUAGGUGACCUGCCAAUUGGAGGGGGAUAACUGGAAGAAAUUUCAGCUAAUACCGCAUAAGCACAGCAAAUUUGAAAGUAGCUGUGGAAAGAUUGCCUCUAUACUAUGCAAUUACCGAUUGAUGGGCCUGCGCGGCAUUAGCUUGAUGGUGGGGUAACGGCCUACCAUGGCGACGAUGCCUAGCUGGUUUGAGAGAAUGAUCAGCCACACUGGAACUGAGACACGGUCCAGACUCCUACGGGAGGCAGCAGUGGGGAAUAUUGCGCAAUGGGCGAAAGCCUGACGCAGCAAUACCGCGUGAGUGAGGAAGGAUUUCGGUUCGUAAAACUCUGUCAGAGUGGAAAAAUGUGUAGAUGUCUAAUAGGCAUUUGCAGUGAUGGUACACUCAAAGGAAGCACCGGCUAACUUCGUGCCAGCAGCCGCGGUAAUACG
Molecule: ribosomal RNA, 476 nt
Filed under: uncultured bacterium
Lineage: Bacteria
Description: bacterial SSU rRNA
Rfam family: Bacterial small subunit ribosomal RNA
Source: RNAcentral